RNAcentral lists this ribosomal RNA (383 nucleotides) under Punctodora sp. RNAcentral describes it as "partial small subunit ribosomal RNA". It matches the Rfam family "Eukaryotic small subunit ribosomal RNA", at positions 587 to 975 of the family's 1831-position model. The record is from RNAcentral. Lineage: Eukaryota; Metazoa; Nematoda; Chromadorea; Chromadorida; Chromadoridae.
AGCUCCAAUAGCGUAUAUUAAAGUUGUUGCGGUUAAAAAGCUCGUAGUUGGAUCUGCGGACAUGGACACCGGUAGCCCACUGGGUAUCACUGGCUGUCCUGUCCUACUUUGCUGGUUUUUCCUUGGUGCUCUUAACUGAGUGCCUUGGUUGGCUAGCGCUUUUACUUUGAAAAAAUUAGAGUGCUUAAAGCAGGCUCUUGCCUGAAUAGUGGUGCAUGGAAUAAUGGAAUAGGACCUCGGUUCUAUUUUGUUGGUUUUCGGAGCUCGAGGUAAUGAUUAAGAGGGACAGACGGGGGCAUUCGUACUGCUGCGUUAGAGGUGAAAUUCUUGGAUCGCAGCAUGACGAACUACUGCGAAAGCAUUUGCCAAGAAUGUUUUCAUUA